UUAAUGUCGAUGCGCCACUUCCGGAACCAC
This 30-nucleotide non-coding RNA is filed under the name Bombyx mori (domestic silkworm). Lineage: Eukaryota; Metazoa; Arthropoda; Insecta; Lepidoptera; Bombycidae. The record is from RNAcentral.